Long non-coding RNA from Mesocricetus auratus (golden hamster), 576 nucleotides. RefSeq lists it as uncharacterized. The record is from RefSeq and is a predicted model, not a curated record. NCBI's taxonomy places the organism in Eukaryota, Metazoa, Chordata, Mammalia, Rodentia, Cricetidae. The transcript is spliced from 4 exons.
GCUCCUGGGUGGACAUCCUGACUGUCCACGAGUCAGAGGGAAGGCACAGUGGCUGAGAAUGAACAGCUGAAGAUUGAAGGAUUCCCCGAAGACAUCCUCCUUUCUUCACUUCUGGAAACUGACAGCUACCUUAUUGGGAAAAUGUCUGUGCAGAUGCCCUUAACUAAGAUCCUCGAGGUGAGGUCAGCUAAACGUUCUGGGCAUGCCCCAAGCUCAUGACAAGUUGACAUCAUGAUGAGGGCACAGGGCCAGACAGAGAGAAGAGAUGGUCACACAAAGAUGGAGGCAGAUGGGAUACCAGCUCACUCUUUCCUGAUGACCACAGGAAGGACCUACGCAAGCCUCUAAGGGCUCACAAAGUCCUGUCUGCAGCAGUACUCCGCUUACAGAAAACACAAAUGCUCUGGAAUCCUCAGUUUCCACACCCUACAUCUGGACUCAGCCGCAGGCUUCCUGUUCUGCAGAAUUCCGACAGCACGUUGUCCUGCCCUCAGCCUGGACACCCAGAGCUACUCCAGAACUGCCAGUACCUGCUGCAUUCCUUAAUCCUCUCAUAUGUGACCACAAAUGCUCAAG